UAAGGCUGCUUUACAGAUAAACUGAAGUGAAUUAAACAUAUUUCUAUAUGAUAUGUAAGCCUUUUUGGGAAUGAACCCUUUCAGGUGUGUACUGUGGAGUGGAAUCUGGAUUGGAGGCAGUCUGUAAUUUCUUACACACCUGACCUAAGAUCAGCAUCCACUCAGCUCAAAGAAGUGUGGAAUCUGAGGAUGAGGAUAAGGGUUCCCGACUCAAACAAACUGCAUCUGAAGACCCAUGUGGAGGUGAUGAAUAUACUUCCUCUAGAACAACUGUGUCACUGACUGUCUUCAAAGGACACUAACAGACUGCUUGAGAGUUUGGCCUAGUAAGGCCUAGUGAAGCAGCAUGAGGAUGUAUUUAUUAACAAAGACUUCAAGGCACUUGUGGAAGUCGCUCUGGAUAAAGCCGUCUGCUAAAUGACAGAAAUGUCCACUCUGUACACCUCGGACUUUCAGUACAACUCUGAAACAUGCCACCUGCAGGAGUUUUCUGGCCAAUCUGCAGUGGUGGGGUGUAUUAGGGAUGGACAGGAGUCUGAUCACCGGAGACUACUGGAUAACUCUGUGGACUGGUGAAUUAUUUCGGUGUACACUUAAACGACAGACUGGACUGGAAGAUCCACACUGAAGCUGUAUACAGGAAGAGGACGAGCAGACUCUAUUUUCUGAGGAAGCUCAGAUCUUUCAAUGUCUGUAACAAGAUGCUGGAGAACUUCUCCCAGUCUGUGGUGUUGAGUGCCAUUUACUGUGCUGUGAUCUGCUGGGGGUCAGCAUCAGCUCCAAGGAUGCCAGCAGGAUUAACAAGCUAAUUCACAAAGCUGGAUCUAUCACUGGACACAAAGUGGAGACAUUUGAGUCAGUGAGAAAUAGGAGGUCACUGGACAAACUGCUCUCCAUCACGGACAAUCCGUCUCACCCACUCUACAACACACUACAGAGUCAGAGGAGCUCAUUCUCCAAAAGACUCGUUCAGGUUCAUGCCACAGAGAACGUCACAGGAGAACAUUGACUAUAAGUUAAGUUGUCUUUAUUUGUCACAUAUAUAUAACUGCACAGUGAAAUUCUUUCUUCACAUAUCCCAUCCUUGGGCAUUGGGGUCGGAGCGCAGGGUCAGCCAUGAUACAGCGCCCUGAGAGCAGGGUGGGUCGGGGGCCUUGUUCAAGGGCCCAACGGUGGCAGCCUGGCGGUGCUGGGGCUUGAACCCUGAUCGUCUGGUCAAUGACCCACUUGAGCUACCACCGCCCCAUAACAUUAUACAUUAGCUCACCUGUGUGUGACAGGGGAUAACACUCUCACACUGCACUACUACAGCCAUUAACACUAUUUCCAAGACUCUCAAGGUUCUUCAUAUUUAUUAUCUUCAUCUUCAUAUCUACUGCCAGUUUGCACAUGUGUACUGUACUGUAAUGUAAAUACUGAUGUAAAUACGGUUAAAUCCACAAGUGUCUUUCCUAUCUGCACUGCUACAUUUAACUUAUUUAAUUCUAUAUUGUCUUAGUCUAAUAUGAGUGUGUUUAUGUGUGUACAUAUAAUUUAAUAUUUGAUAUGUGUGAGUGUGCAUGUUGAAUCUUGUUAAUGGCUAAGCUGCUGUAACACUAGAAUUUCUAAAAAUUCUUUAAAUCUAGAAUCUAGAAAUGAAUUCUAGAAUCUUUAAAAUCUAUUUCCUAGUCUGAAUGAAUUUUGGAAUAAAGACGUAAUUUAGGGAAUUAACCAACUGAACUGAACUGCUGCAGAUCACUGUAAAGUACAGUGUAAGUGUAAAUGUAAACCUUUUGCUUCUCGUAUACUGUACACCCGGAUCCAGACACACAUAUAUGCAGAGACUGAGAGAGAGAAAGAUAGAGAGAGAGACAGAGAGAGAGAGAGAGAGAGAGAGACAGAGAGACAGAGAGAGGGAAGUAAAACAUCCUUUCUGUUUCCUGAUAGUCUGAAUGCACUUUUUAGUAAACAAAAUCAUAGAGAAUCACAUGAUGCUUCACUUUCACUUUCACACAUGUGCUAAAUAUUUCAUCUGUAUGGAGCUACUGCAAUAGUAAAGGACAAAAAAAUUCUUUAUUUAGUUUUGUUUAUUGUUAAAGUAUGGAUUCAUACAAAAAUAACAAUUAAAAAUAUGUUUUUAUUAAUAAAAAAAUCUUUUAAAAACAUUUUAUAAAACACAGAAAGACAUUUCCUGUAGAAUGAUUUCUGUUAUCUUGAUUUAUAAACAUAAAUUUUACAUAUUAAUUCGAUUUAUUGAUAUAUUCCUGGGUCAGAAAGUGCCCAAAAGGCCAGUGCAGGUAGAAAAAUAUUUUUAAUGUCAUGACACUUAGUAUGUCAUGACAUAGUUUCAAAACACUGUUACCAGGAAACUACAAGAUACAUGCCACAACAGAGACCUGGCACUGACUGAGGUUACAUCAGCUCAUAGAUAGUGUAAAGACAGAGGGAAAUGAACCUUCCAGAACAUCAACAUUUACCUCAGAUGUGUUGAUAAACAGCUUAAAAAGAAGACAAUACAUGACUAAAAGUAUUUUUUACACAGUGUAUAGACAUGGGGAGAGUGAAAAUUAUCCAGGACAUCAACAGUUACCUCAGAUUUGUUGAUAAACUGCUAAGAA
Hemibagrus wyckioides is the source of this 2597-nucleotide long non-coding RNA. RefSeq lists it as uncharacterized. NCBI's taxonomy places the organism in Eukaryota, Metazoa, Chordata, Actinopteri, Siluriformes, Bagridae. The record is from RefSeq and is a predicted model, not a curated record. The transcript is spliced from 3 exons.